CAGAGGGUGAGUAACGUGGGAACUACCUUUUGGUUCGGAACCCAGGGAAACUUGUGCUAUACCGGAUAAGCCCUUACGGGGAAAGAAGCCGAAAGAUUGGCCCGCGUCUGAUUAGCUAGUUGGUGAGGUAAUGGCUCACCAAGGCGACGAUCAGUAGCUGGUCUGAGAGGAUGAUCAGCCACAUUGGGACCGAGACACGGCCCAAACUCCUACGGGAGGCAGCAGUGGGGAAUAUUGGACAAUGGGCGCAAGCCUGAUCCAGCCAUGCCGCGUGAGUGAUGAAGGCCCUAGGGUUGUAAAGCUCUUUUGUGCGGGAAGAUAAUGACGGUACCGCAAGAAUAAGCCCCGGCUAACUUCGUGCCAGCAGCCGCGGUAAUACGAAGGGGGCUAGCGUUGCUCGGAAUCACUGGGCGUAAAGGGUGCGUAGGCGGGUCUUUGAGUCAGAGGUGAAAUCCUGGAGCUCAACUCCAGAACUGCCUUUGAUACUGAAGGUCCUGAGUUCGGGAGAGGUGAGUGGAACUGCGAGUGUAGAGGUGAAAUUCGUAGAUAUUCGCAAGAACACCAGUGGCGAAGGCGGCUCACUGGCCCGAUACUGACGCUGAGGCACGAAAGCGUGGGGAGCAAACAGGAUUAGAUACCCUGGUAGUCCACGCCGUAAACGAUGAGAACCUGACGUCGGUUUGCUCUGCGAAUCGGUGUCGUAGCUAACGCGAUAAGUUCUCCGCCUGGGGAGUACGGCCGCAAGGUUGAAACUCAAAGGAUUGACGGGGGCCCGCACAAGCGGUGGAGUAUGUGGUUUAAUUCGAUGCGACGCGAAACCUUACGGGUUAAAUCCACUCGAACUUGGUAGAGAUACCUUGGUGCUUCUGGGGAGCGAGUGAGAAGGCUGCAUGGUGUCGUCAGCUCGUGUCGGAGAUGUUGGGUUAAUCCAACGAGCGCAAUCUAUCGUCAGUUGCCAGCAUUAAGUUGGGACUCUGGAGACUGCCGCGUCAAGG
RNAcentral lists this ribosomal RNA (995 nucleotides) under uncultured Alphaproteobacteria bacterium. Its description in RNAcentral is "bacterial SSU rRNA". It matches the Rfam family "Bacterial small subunit ribosomal RNA", at positions 100 to 1163 of the family's 1533-position model. The record is from RNAcentral. Lineage: Bacteria; Pseudomonadati; Pseudomonadota; Alphaproteobacteria.